CAAAAACAUGGCCUUUAGCUACAACAAAUAUUAAAGGUCCUGCCUGCCCAGUGAAUAUUUUUUAACGGCCGCGGUAUCAUAACCGUGCAAAGGUAGCGUAAUCACUUGUCCUCUAAAUCGGGACCCGUAUGAAUGGCUAAAUGAGGGCACACCUGUCUCCUAAAGCCCCUCAAUGAAACUGAUCAGCCAGUACAAAAGCUGGUAUAAACACAUAAGACGAGAAGACCCUGCGGAGCUUUAAACUAAGACGUUAAUUAAUAUACCACUAAACCUAAUAAUAUAAUUGACAAUAACGUCUGUUUUUAGUUGGGGCGACUGCGGAAUAAAACAAACCUUCCAUGAAACAGGCUAUACCCCUUCCAAGAAAAACAAAUCUACGAAAAACACAUACUGACCCAGUAAAUACUGAUCAACGAACCAAGUUACCCCAGGGAUAACAGCGCCAUCCCCUUUAAGAGUUCAUAUCGCCAAGGGGGUUUACGACCUCGAUGUUGGAUCAGGACACCCAGGUGGUGCAGCCGCUACCAAAGGUUCGUUUGUUCAACGAUUAAUGUCCUACGUGAUCUGA
Molecule: ribosomal RNA, 568 nt
Filed under: Gekko adleri (Adler's gecko)
Lineage: Eukaryota; Metazoa; Chordata; Lepidosauria; Squamata; Gekkonidae
Description: partial 16S ribosomal RNA
Rfam family: Bacterial large subunit ribosomal RNA
Source: RNAcentral